UCUGGAAAACUAAAAUGGAAUAGGAAUCAAAUUUAGAUCGGACUCUUUCGAGUUUACGAAAAAGUUUACGUCGUGUGAUGCACCGACGGACUAUCAUAGACCAAGAAAACCCAGCCAAUAAACCAGAGAAUUCCGAUUACGCCAGGGACAUAAAAUGCCAACGGCCAGCCGUUAUCGAAUUCGAGAUUACACAGGAACCCAGACAAUGGCAUGAUGAUCACCGUCCCGAAUUGAGUACCUUAAACGAAAACAAUUGAGACAUUAGACACAUUGCGGAGCGAGGGAGUGUCACACGCAAGAUGAGAACCUGCCAAGACAAAGGCGCCUAUAGUCGUCCGUUCAAAUGUAGGGACCCAUUUUGAAAUCAUACUAUUAGCCGAUGGAAACGUCACUCCCUGAAAUGAAUUAAUCAACCAAUCAGUCAACCCGGAUUUAAAAUUUCUUGUGAAAUGAUAAAGAGCCGCCAUGUCGUGCAGCCAAUGGAGUCAGCAUGGAAAAGAAAUCGGUGAGAAGGAUGCCAAUGCCCAACACGUAUUUGCCUCCGUACUUCCGGCUAAAAUGCCACCUGGGAUCUGCGUCACCAUGUAACCCCAGAAGAACGCACCCAAAAUCAGGCCUUGUGUUUCACCGUCCCAAUCAAACUCGCCGUUGUUCUACAUAGGAAAAUACCUACUUCACUGUCACCGGAUUCAUCAUUUUCGCACUGUUCGCUGCCAUUUCCGCUGGAGCCUCCGCUACCGCUCCUGCCGAAGAACGUCGUAGUGUUUGGAGUUCUAACCAUGUCAACGAUAGCCACUGACAAAUUGAUUCGCAUCAUGUAAACAGCAGCCAAGCCGAGAAAUCCCAUCAAAGCGAAAACAUGCCGCGAUCCGAAGAAACCUGUGCAAAUAUCAAGAAAUGUUUUUAAAUAUUGCGCACAUAGAUUUCCAUUUAUCCUUCAAAAAGGAUGGAGAUGGAAACGUCAUUGCGUUUACAAACCGUCUGGACGUUCGGCUCCUUCAUUGUCUCCACGUUCAUUUCCAUGAGGAUGUUGCUCGCUGAUGUUGGUCUGUCGAUAAUUACACCAGUCCGACACAAAGGUUAGUGAAGGUUAGUAACAUAAUUGUGAAACGGGUUUUUGUUUUUUUUACCUCUGAAUCACUACCUACUUUCUGAUCGUUGUUUAUGGCUCUUAUCUGUCGAUUGUUUGGUGUCUACGGCGAUGAUGGAGAUUGUGUGCGACAGAGGCGGUUGGCUGCCUUUCUCAUCUCCGUCAGCAUUGCUUGACGUGUCACUCAUGUCUAUAUAUUGUUUUGGCUGGUCAGUCGGCGUAGAUAAACAAUCGUAAUACUAUCAGGCUUAAAGGCAUUUAGAUCUAGAUAAAGGUUGUUACAGAACAUGCUUUCUACGCCACACCAUUUUGAUUGACACAUUGCAAAAAAGGAAAAAAAAAUAAAAUGAAAUAAAUCGA
This is a long non-coding RNA of Daphnia magna, 1450 nucleotides long. RefSeq lists it as uncharacterized. NCBI's taxonomy places the organism in Eukaryota, Metazoa, Arthropoda, Branchiopoda, Diplostraca, Daphniidae. The record is from RefSeq and is a predicted model, not a curated record. The transcript is spliced from 4 exons.